This 291-nucleotide long non-coding RNA is filed under the name Physcomitrium patens. Its description in RNAcentral is "long non-coding RNA (PPAT_LNC005527)". Lineage: Eukaryota; Viridiplantae; Streptophyta; Bryopsida; Funariales; Funariaceae. The record is from RNAcentral.
AGUGAGUCUAAGAAAUAAAUCAGAGAUUGAUUUAAGAGUUAUUGAUUAUGUAAUUGGAGUACUGAGUGAUUGAAUUAUAUGAGAAGUUAUUGGAAGAUUGAUUAUGGAUGGAAGAUUAUGAUUAUUUUUUAUUGAGAAUUAUGUAUGUGUAUUUUGAUAAAGGAAGUCUGUAAUUACAAGAAUUCUGUGAAUUCAGAUUGGUUGGAGUGAAGUCUGUUAUUCUUGGUGUUGGAUGGAAUUUAUUGAGUUUUGAGCGGUCUUUUGAAAGUGCAGGAUUGCACAUUGUGGUUA